This 509-nucleotide long non-coding RNA is filed under the name Prunus persica (peach). Its description in RNAcentral is "long non-coding RNA (PPER_LNC004523)". The record is from RNAcentral. Lineage: Eukaryota; Viridiplantae; Streptophyta; Magnoliopsida; Rosales; Rosaceae.
UGAGCUAUAUUGUAUUUUGAAUUUUUAGAUGCAUAUGCAGAUGCUUUUUAAGGAACUAUUGAUGAUGUUGUAGCACUUGGUUUUCAUUUAGAAUCUUGUGAUUGUGAGUGAGAAACUUCAAUCGAUCUGCUAGUUGUAGAGGCAUUUUGAUGAAUAGUUUUAUUAGUAUGCUAGUUGCAUAUGGAUUUUGAAAAACAAUUUCAUGAAAUGCAUAUGCAGUUUCUCAAACUGCUUUGUGAUUAAUUCAUAUUUGCUGUUAAAAUGCUGAUGAUGUUGUCAUUGGUUUUGUUUUCUGAAUUUUUUUUAUUGUGAUUAAAUGGUCUGCUAGCUGCAUAUGUAGCUUGAGGAACUGUUUUAUGUUAAAAUCAUGUAUGAAGUCUUGUUUUAUAUGAAAUCAAUAUGAGGAUAAUAAAUAUAAAUUCUAGUUUUUAGAAUGUUGAGGAUGUUUCAGUUGGUUUUGUUUUCUGAAUUGUGUGAUUGUGAUUCAAUUUUCUGCUAGCUGUAUAUGC